ACGGGUGGCUGCAGUGGGGAAUAUUGGGCAAUGGGCGCAAGCCUGACCCAGCAACGCCGCGUGAAGGAAGAAGGCUUUCGGGUUGUAAACUUCUUUUCUGGGGGACGAACAAAUGACGGUACCCCAGGAAUAAGCCACGGCUAACUACGUGCCAGCAGCCGCGGUAAUACGUAGGUGGCAAGCGUUAUCCGGAUUUAUUGGGUGUAAAGGGCGUGUAGGCGGGAAUGCAAGUCAGAUGUGAAAACUAUGGGCUCAACCCAUAGCCUGCAUUUGAAACUGUAUUUCUUGAGUGCUGGAGAGGCAAUCGGAAUUCCGUGUGUAGCGGUGAAAUGCGUAGAUAUACGGAGGAACACCAGUGGCGAAGGCGGAUUGCUGGACAGUAACUGACGCUGAGGCGCGAAAGCGUGGGGAGCAAACAGGAUUAGAUACCC
RNAcentral lists this ribosomal RNA (431 nucleotides) under Enterobacter cloacae complex sp. 2DZ2F20B. Its description in RNAcentral is "bacterial SSU rRNA". It matches the Rfam family "Bacterial small subunit ribosomal RNA", at positions 341 to 787 of the family's 1533-position model. Lineage: Bacteria; Pseudomonadati; Pseudomonadota; Gammaproteobacteria; Enterobacterales; Enterobacteriaceae. The record is from RNAcentral.